GGGCCAGUGGCGCAAUGGAUAACGCGUCUGACUACGGAUCAGAAGGUUCCAGGUUCGACUCCUGGCUGGCUCG
RNAcentral lists this transfer RNA (73 nucleotides) under Tursiops truncatus (common bottlenose dolphin). RNAcentral describes it as "tRNA-Arg (ACG) (tRNA-Arg-ACG-1-1)". It matches the Rfam family "tRNA". Rfam says of the family: Transfer RNA (tRNA) molecules are approximately 80 nucleotides in length. Their secondary structure includes four short double-helical elements and three loops (D, anti-codon, and T loops). The record is from Rfam by way of RNAcentral. Lineage: Eukaryota; Metazoa; Chordata; Mammalia; Artiodactyla; Delphinidae. RNAcentral also lists the same sequence under 6 other names.